RNAcentral lists this unclassified non-coding RNA (400 nucleotides) under uncultured bacterium. Its description in RNAcentral is "contains 16S-23S intergenic spacer region". It matches the Rfam family "Bacterial small subunit ribosomal RNA", at positions 786 to 1190 of the family's 1533-position model. The record is from RNAcentral.
GUACGUCAUCCACACCCUAAACGAUGAAUACUAGAUGUUGGUUUUUUAUAAAAUCAGUAUCCAAGCUAACGCAUUAAGUAUUCCACCUGGGAAGUACAAUCGCAAGGUUGAAACUCAAAGGAAUUGACGGGGGCCCGCACAAGCAGUGGAGCAUGUGGUUUAAUUCGACGCAACGCGAAGAACCUUACCUGGGCUUGACAUGCGGGGUGAAACCGUAGAGAUACGGCGCUCCUCGGAGCCCGCACAGGUGGUGCAUGGCUGUCGUCAGCUCGUGCCGUGAGGUGUUGCCUUAAGUGGCGCAACGAGCGCAACCCCUGUCCUUAGUUGCCAGCGGGUAAUGCCGGGAACUCUAGGGAGACUGCCGGUGCCAAACCGGAGGAAGGUGGGGAUGACGUCCCAC